UGCAGAUGAUGCAACCAAAAACAAAUAUUUGCUAUCUGAGUUAACGUGACGACUCCCAACCACCAAGAUCGCUGAUGCA
RNAcentral lists this small nucleolar RNA (79 nucleotides) under Pogona vitticeps (central bearded dragon). RNAcentral's name for it is "Small nucleolar RNA SNORD24 (ENSPVIG00000004938.1)". It matches the Rfam family "Small nucleolar RNA SNORD24". Rfam says of the family: U24 is a member of the C/D class of snoRNA which contain the C (UGAUGA) and D (CUGA) box motifs. C/D box snoRNAs have been shown to act as methylation guides for a number of RNA targets. U24 is encoded within an intron of the gene for ribosomal protein L7a in mammals, chicken and Fugu. The record is from Rfam by way of RNAcentral. Lineage: Eukaryota; Metazoa; Chordata; Lepidosauria; Squamata; Agamidae.